CGGCUCGGGAAGUGUGUCCCAUCAGAGGAGGGACUGGCAGUUCCUCCCCGGCUGCAGGCCGGUAGUAACUGAUCAAAGGAGAAAUGAGUUUUCACUUAGAUUAAAUUCUCUCCUCCCCACUUUCGAACAAGAAGUAGGAAGAUUAGCCCAGGAAUGGGGUUUCUAGUAGAACAAAAGGAAAAAAAGGGGUGGGGGAAGGCUGGAACAACAUUAUUUAAAUAACUCUCUGGGGACAAGAACUGCAAGAUGCAUGCAUUUAACUACAGAAUAUAUUCAUCAUAUCUCCCAGAGAAAUGAAUAAUACCAUGAGGAGCUAUUUAAUCAUGAGCAUGGAGAUUGCCCUGCAGAUUGCUGUGCUCUGACAGUGCCAGUCAAGAUGGAAUAAGAAAAAUUAUGCUGGGAAACAAGGAGUCAGGUUCAUAGUUACUUAAAAACCAGUAAACAUAGUCUGUACUUUCUUAACAAGAAAGAAAUACUUACAGAGGGAAGCAACAACAUCUGUUCUUAUUAACUAAAUUGAACAAUACAAAAUU
Neopsephotus bourkii (Bourke's parrot) is the source of this 533-nucleotide long non-coding RNA. RefSeq lists it as uncharacterized. The transcript is spliced from 3 exons. The record is from RefSeq and is a predicted model, not a curated record. NCBI's taxonomy places the organism in Eukaryota, Metazoa, Chordata, Aves, Psittaciformes, Psittacidae.